Molecule: transfer RNA, 66 nt
Filed under: Anagonalia melichari
Lineage: Eukaryota; Metazoa; Arthropoda; Insecta; Hemiptera; Cicadellidae
Description: tRNA-Pro
Source: RNAcentral
CAGUAUAUAGUUUAUUUUAAAACUUAGAUUUUGGGUAUCUAAAAAAUGUAAAUUACAUUAUUCUGA